AUGCCGGAGGGAGUGAAUUCUACUUCGAUUGUACUCAUUCCCAAAGUUCCCAACCCGGUAAGAAUUACGGACUAUAGACCCAUUAGUCUGUGUAAUGUUAUUUACAAGGUCAUCUCCAAGUGUCUAGUGAAUAGGAUGAGGCCAUUGUUGGACGAUCUAAUAUCUCCUGAGCAAAGUGCCUUCAUUCCUGGAAGCAUGAUUACAGAUAAUGCACUAGUUGCUUUUGAGUGUAUACAUCAUAUCAAGCAGGAGAAGGACCCUACAAAGAGUUUUUGUGCAUACAAAUUAGAUCUUUCAAAAGCAUAUGACUGA
RNAcentral lists this ribosomal RNA (312 nucleotides) under Triticum aestivum (bread wheat). RNAcentral's name for it is "partial small subunit ribosomal RNA". The record is from RNAcentral. Lineage: Eukaryota; Viridiplantae; Streptophyta; Magnoliopsida; Poales; Poaceae.